This 499-nucleotide ribosomal RNA is filed under the name uncultured bacterium. RNAcentral's name for it is "bacterial SSU rRNA". It matches the Rfam family "Bacterial small subunit ribosomal RNA", at positions 899 to 1397 of the family's 1533-position model. The record is from RNAcentral.
ACUCAAAUGAAUUGACGGGGACCCGCACAAGCAGCGGAGCAUGUGGUUUAAUUCGAAGCAACGCGAAGAACCUUACCAAGGUUUGACAUCCUCUGACCGCCCAAGAGAUUGGGUUUUCACAGCAAUGUGACAGAGAGACAGGUGGUGCACGGUUGUCGUCAGCUCGUGUCGUGAGAUGUUGGGUUAAGUCCCGCAACGAGCGCAACCCUUAUGAAUAGUUGCCAAUAUUAAGUUAGGAACUCUAUUCAGACUGCCGUCGAUAAGACGGAGGAAGGUGGGGAUGACGUCAAAUCAUCACGCCCCUUACAUCUUGGGCUACACACGUGCUACAAUGGCUGUAACAAAGAGAGGCAAUAUAGCAAUAUGGAGCAAAUCUCAAAAAAACAGUCUCAGUUCAGAUUGUGGGCUGCAACUCGCCCGCAUGAAGUAGGAGUUGCUAGUAAUCGCGAAUCAGCACGUCGCGGUGAAUGCGUUCCCGGGUCUUGCACACACCGCCCGU